AGAUGAGAUGAGUAUUCUAAGGCGCGUGAAAGAACUCUGGUUAAGGAACUCUGCAAACUAGCACCGUAAGUUCGCGAUAAGGUGUGCCACAGCGAUGUGGUCUCAGCAAAGAGUCCCUCCCGACUGUUUACCAAAAACACAGCACUUUGCCAACUCGUAAGAGGAAGUAUAAGGUGUGACGCCUGCCCGGUGCUCGAAGGUUAAGAGGAUGCGUCAGUCGCAAGAUGAAGCGUUGAAUUGAAGCCCGAGUAAACGGCGGCCGUAACUAUAACGGUCCUAAGGUAGCGAAAUUCCUUGUCGGUUAAAUACCGACCUGCAUGAAUGGCGUAACGAGAUGGGAGCUGUCUCAACCAGAGAUUCAGUGAAAUUGUAGUGGAGGUGAAAAUUCCUCCUACCCGCGGCAAGACGGAGAGACCCCGUGGACCUUUACUACAACUUAGCACUGCUAACGGGAAUAUCAUGCGC
This 465-nucleotide ribosomal RNA is filed under the name Helicobacter pylori. RNAcentral's name for it is "partial 23S ribosomal RNA". It matches the Rfam family "Bacterial large subunit ribosomal RNA", at positions 1665 to 2139 of the family's 2925-position model. Lineage: Bacteria; Pseudomonadati; Campylobacterota; Epsilonproteobacteria; Campylobacterales; Helicobacteraceae. The record is from RNAcentral.